RNAcentral lists this long non-coding RNA (1694 nucleotides) under Homo sapiens (human). Its description in RNAcentral is "long non-coding RNA NONHSAT162740.1". The record is from RNAcentral. Lineage: Eukaryota; Metazoa; Chordata; Mammalia; Primates; Hominidae.
GGCAGACAGGCGGAUCCUGCAGGCCCUCCUCGAGAAGGAGGACGAGAGCCAGCGCCUCCACCUGGCCAGGCGGGAGCAGGUCAUGGCCGAUGUGGCCUGGAUGAAGCAGGCCAUUGAGGAGCAGCUGCAGCUGGAGCGGGCGCGGGAGGCAGAGCUGCAGAUGCUGCUGAGGGAGGAGGCCAAGGAGAUGUGGGAAAAGAGAGAGGCAGAGUGGGCCCGAGAGCGCAGCGCACGGGACAGACUGAUGAGCGAGGUUCUGACAGGGAGACAACAGCAAAUACAAGAGAAGAUUGAGCAGAACCGACGGGCACAAGAGGAAUCCCUGAAACACAGGGAGCAACUUAUUCGAAAUCUUGAGGAGGUGAGAGAGUUGGCUCGUCGCGAGAAAGAGGAGAGUGAAAAGCUGAAAUCGGCCAGGAAGCAGGAGCUGGAAGCCCAGGUUGCAGAGCGCCGGCUGCAGGCAUGGGAAGCAGACCAGCAGGAGGAGGAGGAAGAGGAGGAGGCCCGGCGGGUCGAGCAGCUCUCAGAUGCCCUGCUGCAGCAGGAGGCGGAGACUAUGGCUGAGCAGGGCUACCGGCCUAAGUGUCUUUGUUCCCGGACCUGUCUGCACAGCACCAUGGGGAGCACAGAGAAGCAAAUGCUGCCUUCCCUGCCCUGAGGAAGCUGAUGACUGAAGCACCUCCACUGCUGGCUUGUCCCCUCUGCCCUCCUUUACCUAGGGCCACCCUGGCCACCCGGUGCCUAGAGUGCAUUCCCCAGGACACAUGCUGCAGAAUGAGGGCUGGCUCCCUUGUGGUCAGAUGACACUGGGAAACUGAGUGAAACAUAAUUAGAGCAGGUGCUGCGUUUGCCAUAGGCCACUCGCCCUCAAACACUGACUGUCACAGUCACAGGGAACAGCAUUUCCUAAACCCACUUGGCCGUGGAUCAGUGAGAGUGUCAGGGUCAGGGUUUCACAGAUCAUAUGUGAAAGUGUUUCUUAGGGCUAGUACUCAAAACCAAAAAGAUAUCAAGUGCCUCAUUUAUGGCUUAGGGUCAGAUUUUUUCAGCUGGAAAUGAAACAGCCAUUUAUAUUGUUCUUUUAGCUUGUAGUUAAAACAAGGUUAAUUCCUCAUGCUGCAGAUACUGCUGAUCUGAUCACUCUUAUGUUUUCUUUCUUUUCUCAGCCUUACGGACAUCCAAAAAUUGCUUGGAACUGACUUCAUGGGUACCAUAAGUACAGAGAACAAGGGAUGCUGAGGCUUCUGAUCCCAGCCGCCAGGCAGUUUUACAGGGCUCUGUUAACAGUAAGUGCCCGGGGCACUGUCAGAUGGCUCAGCAGUGCCUGCUCAGGUUCAUCAUUGAAACAUCCCAGUGUUUGGCCAGACAUUAAGGUGUCGUGAGAGUCCCUUUCAUGCCUUUCUUACCCAAGCAAGGGUCUUUGAUGGGCACGUGUUUACAGCGCUGCUGCAUAGUCUUGUAAUAUAUUAACAGUCACAUCAACUGAAGGUCAAUACUAAGAGCCACAGGUUGUACCUGUGAUGGGGCGUGUGGUUUCCUGUUGUCUCACCUUUAAUUGUCAACCUCCAGUGUUGACUCUAGAAAUAUGAGGAAAGCUUUUCAGUUUUUAAAAUUGCCAUUUAAAUUUAGUCUAUUAAAAACAAACCUAGAGGUCUUGGUGCAGUUGAUUUCAGAGUUUAUUAAUUUAGUGGUCC